ACUCAAAUGAAUAGACGGGGACUUGCACAAGCGGUGGAUCAUGCGGCUCAAUUCGAUGACAAACGAAGAACCUCACCAGGGUUAGAAACCAAGACGACAGAGUAGGAAACUACUUCUUCGCAAGACGGCUUGGCAGGUGAUGCAUGGUCGUCGUCAGUUCGUGGCUUGAGUUGUUCCCUUCAGUGGGGUAACGAACGCAACCCUCGUUGCCUGUUUUAUAUGUCAGGCGAGACUGCCCCCUCACGGGGGAGGAAGGUGAGGAUGACGCCAGAUCAGCAUGUCCCUCUGAUAUCCUGGGCUGCACGCAUGAUACAAUGGGCGUGACAACGCGACGCGACGGGGUAACCCUGAGCAAAUCGUAAUAAACACGCCCCCAGUUCGGAUUGAGGUCUGCAACUCGACCUCAUGAAGCCGGAAUCGCUAGUAAUCGCAGGUCAGCUAUACUGCGGUGAAUACGUUCUCAAGUCUUGUACACACCGCCCGU
RNAcentral lists this ribosomal RNA (484 nucleotides) under uncultured bacterium. Its description in RNAcentral is "partial 16S ribosomal RNA". It matches the Rfam family "Bacterial small subunit ribosomal RNA", at positions 899 to 1397 of the family's 1533-position model. The record is from RNAcentral.